AAAGAUUAAGCCAUGUUUGUCUAAUUAUAAGCUUUUAUACAGUGAAACUGCGAAUGGCUCACUAAAUCAGUUAUGAUCUACUUGACAAAUUUACUACUGGAUAUCCGGGGUAAUUCUAAAGCUAAUCCAGUGCAUUCAACCCCGGAUGUUUUGAUGGGAGCACUAGUUAGAUCCAUAGACCAAACCCCCAGGGCAACCUGGUAUUGCUUAGUCAUAACUAUUAACCUUACCACCCGCAAGGCCGACGGUUCAAUCAAAUUUCUGCCCAAUCAUUGCCCUGUUGGUAGGAAAAAGGCCUACCAUGGCUGCAACGGGUAACGGGGAAUAAGGGUUCUUUUCCGGAAAGGGCCCCUGAAAAAUGGCGACCCCAUCCAAGGAAGGCAGCCGGGGCGCAAAUUACCCAAUCCCCACCCGGGGAGGUAGUGACAAUAAAAAACAAAGCAGGGCCCUUUUGGGUCUUGUAAUUGGAAUGAGCUCAAUUUAAACCCCUUAACAAGGAA
Molecule: ribosomal RNA, 500 nt
Filed under: uncultured eukaryote
Lineage: Eukaryota
Description: bacterial SSU rRNA
Rfam family: Eukaryotic small subunit ribosomal RNA
Source: RNAcentral